RNAcentral lists this ribosomal RNA (441 nucleotides) under uncultured bacterium. RNAcentral's name for it is "partial 16S ribosomal RNA". The record is from RNAcentral.
GACUACUAGGGUAUCUAAGCCCGUUCGCUCCCCUAGCUUUCGCCUCUCAGCGUCAGGUACAGGCCAGAAAGCCGCUUUCGCCACUGGUGUUCUUCCUAAUAUCUGAGCAUUCCACCGCUACAUUAGGAGUUCCGCUUUCCUCUCCUGCCCUCUAGUCAAACAGUUUUGUACGACCCCACCCAGUUGAGCCGGGUUUUGUCACGCACAACUUGUCCAACCGCCUACUUGCCCUUUACGCCCAAUAAAUCCGGAUAACGCUCGCCUCCUACGUCUUACCGCGGCUGCUGGCACGUAGUUAGCCGAAGCUUAUUCCUGGGGUACUGUCCUUACUCAUCCCCCAGAAAAGGGUUUUACGACCCGAAGGCCUUCAUCACCCACGCGGCGUUGCUGCAUCAGGGUUUCCCCCAUUGUGCAAUAUUCCUUACUGCAGCCCCCCGUAGG